This 497-nucleotide ribosomal RNA is filed under the name uncultured bacterium. RNAcentral describes it as "partial 16S ribosomal RNA". It matches the Rfam family "Bacterial small subunit ribosomal RNA", at positions 28 to 507 of the family's 1533-position model. The record is from RNAcentral.
GAUGAACGCUGGCGGCGUGCCUAACACAUGCAAGUCGAGCGGACGGACGCGGCUCUUGCUUGUCUGAUGUUAGCGGCGGACGGGUGAGUCACACGUGUAUAACCGACCUAUAAGACUGGGACCACCUCGGGACACCGGCGCUAAUACCGGAUGAUAUUUUGAACCGCAUGGUUCAAAAGUGAAAGACGGUCUUGCGGUCACUUAUAGCUGGAUCUCCGCUGCAUGAGCUAGUUGUUACGGUAACGGCGUACCAAGGCGACGAUGCAUAGCCGACCUGAGAGGAGGAUCGGCCACACGGGAACUGAGACACGGUCCAGAGUCCUGCGGGAGGCAGCAGUGGGGAAUCUUAGGCAGUGGGCGAAAGCCUGACGCAACAACGCCGCGUGAGUGAUGAAGGUCUUCGGAUCGUAAAGCACUGUUAUUGGGGAGGAACAGAUGUAGAAGUAGAUGUGGAGGUAUUGACGGUACCGAAAGAAGAAGCACCGGCUAACUACGUG